UUUUUUUCUCGUUAUUUUUUCUUCAUAUUAUUAUUAUUAUUUAUUUAUUUUCUCUUUUAAACUUUCAUUUCUCUCAUAUUUAUACUUCACAUUCAAAUUAGGUUAAAUAAGUUUUUUAUCCUUUUAAAUAUGAUCAAUUUUACUUUUAGUCCCUCUAAAAGUUUUCUUCAAAGAAUGGUCCUCCUAAUAUUUUUCAUCCACACUUUUGGUCUCUUCUGCUAACGGUCGUUAACAGGAAC
This 239-nucleotide long non-coding RNA is filed under the name Lathyrus oleraceus (garden pea). RNAcentral's name for it is "Pisum sativum (pea) long non-coding RNA (PSAT_LNC023214)". The record is from RNAcentral. Lineage: Eukaryota; Viridiplantae; Streptophyta; Magnoliopsida; Fabales; Fabaceae.